RNAcentral lists this ribosomal RNA (119 nucleotides) under Pteropus alecto (black flying fox). The record is from RNAcentral. Lineage: Eukaryota; Metazoa; Chordata; Mammalia; Chiroptera; Pteropodidae.
GUCUAUGGCCAUGCUACCCUGAACAAGCCUGAUCCCGUCUGAUCUUGGAAGCUAAGCAGGGUCGGGCCUGGUUAGUACUUGGAUGGGAGACCACCAAAGAGGACCAGGUGCUGUAGGCA